UACAGAGGUCUCAAGCGUUGUUCGGAUUCAUUGGGCGUAAAGGGUGUGUAGGUGGCGCGCUAAAUCGGGUGUGAAAUUUCGGAGCUUAACUCCGAAACUGCAUUCGAUACUGGCGUGCUUGAGGACUGGAGAGGAGACUGGAAUUCAUGGUGUAGCAGUGAAAUGCGUAGAGAUCAUGAGGAAGACCAGUGGCGAAGGCGGGUCUCUGGACAGUUCCUGACACUGAGACACGAAGGCCAGGGGAGCAAACGGG
This 253-nucleotide ribosomal RNA is filed under the name uncultured bacterium. RNAcentral describes it as "partial 16S ribosomal RNA". It matches the Rfam family "Bacterial small subunit ribosomal RNA", at positions 524 to 776 of the family's 1533-position model. The record is from RNAcentral.